This 381-nucleotide ribosomal RNA is filed under the name uncultured bacterium. RNAcentral's name for it is "bacterial SSU rRNA". It matches the Rfam family "Bacterial small subunit ribosomal RNA", at positions 28 to 408 of the family's 1533-position model. The record is from RNAcentral.
GACGAACGCUGGCGGCGUGCUUAACACAUGCAAGUCGAGCGGUAAGGCCCUUUCGGGGGUACGACGAGCGGCGAACGGGUGAGUAACACGUGGGUGACCUGCCCUCAGCUCUGGGAUAAGCCCGGGAAACUGGGUCUAAUACCGGAUAUGACUUCAUGACGCAUGUUGUGGAGUGGGAAGCCUUGUGCGGCUGAGGAUGGGCCCGCGGCCUAUCAGCUUGUUGGGUGGGGUGANGGCCUACCAAGGCGACGACGGGUAGCCGGCCUGAGAGGGCGACCGGCCACACUGGGACUGAGAUACGGCCCAGACUCCUACGGGAGGCAGCAGUGGGGAAUCUUGCGCAAUGGGCGAAAGCCUGACGCAGCGACGCCGCGUGAGGGA